This is a long non-coding RNA of Triplophysa rosa, 1647 nucleotides long. RefSeq lists it as uncharacterized. The transcript is spliced from 6 exons. The record is from RefSeq and is a predicted model, not a curated record. NCBI's taxonomy places the organism in Eukaryota, Metazoa, Chordata, Actinopteri, Cypriniformes, Nemacheilidae.
CGCGCUGCACAUGCGCAUUGCGACUACCGAAGGUGGACCGAGUGGGAAUGUGAAGUGAGCCAUAUUCAAUCAGGACUGGCGAUCCAGUGCCCUUUUGGUCACAACAGGUCAUUUAAGAAAACCCAACAAACAAUGAGGUGCGUGCCGUUCUGUCAGGGAAAUUCUCUGGUUCUGUUUGUCAUGCACCUCUUAAUGGCCCAUUUUAAAGAAAAAAAGUCCCUUCUAAUUGAAGCUGAUCCGACAUGGAAAGAGGUGAAUUACCGGAUUCACCCACACUGAUCAUCCAAGAGAGUAGUGAACACACGCACAGCAAGUGGUGAACACACGUACACCCGGAGCAGUGGGCAGCUAUCACUGCAGUACUCGGUCAGCAAGUAGGGGUAGGUGCCUUGCUCAAGGGCACCCCAGUCGUUACCCGCCGGCCCUGAGAAUCCAACCGGCAACCUUCUGGUCACAAGUCCAACUCUCUAACCAUUAGGCCACGACUGCCCCUCAUUUAAGAAUUUUUAUAUAUUUUGACUAGAAAAAAGAAUUACAAGGUAAAAUAAGUUCUUUUUUGCAGGCCAUGAACCAUACUUUUACAACAAAAGUUUACUCUUUCAUAAUUUUUCUAAGUGAAUUGAUGACGCCAAGCAAAUGGAUGAUGUCAGUUCAAAGGGAAGUUAUCCUGGGACCAUGUUCAGGGGAAUUUGUUGAGGGUCUGGCAGCAUUGUUUGUGACACAUUACAACUUAAACCUCGCUUAUCUGUAUGAAGCUGCAUGCACGCUCAAAUUUAUUCAAAGAGGAAUUGUGGGCAUCAAUCCCGAAACUGGAUCUAAAGUUGCUGCUGGAAAGCGAGUAAAAAAAUGCAUUAACUGAACCCACAUGCACACUGCUACUGAAACUAAUGGACUUUGAAUGUCUUGCAAAUUAAAUGAAGAAUUCAAAUGGAAUUGAAAUAAGAGACUCUGGCCAGAUUUUCAAGUUUGUGGUUCAUGUCCAGGUUAAUGUACAUGCAACAUCUUGCCUUUUUAUAAAUAAUCAAUUUAAAGGUAGGCACAAUUCAGACCAUUUCUCAUGUUUAAAGCCAUAUUUUGCAAACUGAAAUUUUCCUUGUAUUUCUAUGGCUAAAGCCUUUUAUUUGUUGUGUAAUCUUCACUGUUGUGAAAGGAAGCAUUCUUGUAUUUUUAAGGCUAAAGCCUUUCAUUUAUUUUGCAAUCUCAUUUUCUUUUAUUUUUUACUUAGUUUUGGAAACUAGUGCUUAAUGUUCAUGUUUAUUGUACAAUAAAUGCAUUUGGCUACAUCUAUGAAAUCCUGUUUUAUUGUUCACGUUACAUUAAAUUAACACACCUAAACACUACUGAAGUGUACAGCAAAAGUAGGUUACAUAAAUGUACUAGCAGUGAAAAAUCUUAAUUGUAGUUAAUUUAGUGAAUUUAAUUUCACAGCAAAUGCUAUGAUUCACUACAAGUAUAGCAGUCCAUAUAAAUUCACAGUUGCCCUUGUACACUUUAACUGUAAUUUUACAGUGACAGCUGUAAAAAAUUACAUAUUGCUACAUGUGUGUAUAUAUACAGAAAUAUGCUGUAUUUUUACAGUGAAACUGUAGUUAGUGAUUUACAGUACUCUUGUAAAAAAUUACAGUCUUAGUGGCAACCAAAGUUGAA